GGUCAGGUCUUGGCACUUCCAUUUCAGGGUUUAUGGCAGGCAUAUCAUUUUUUGUCUUCUGGCUUUGAGGUUGCAUUUCAUCAGUUCUGCUCAAUUGCCUUUUUCAUUGAUGGAGCAGGCGCAAGAGCAUUAAUUUACUGGUGUUUUUUCAUCCUGGAUUUCUGGACUUCUCAUUGAAUCUUCACCUGAUGAGAUGGACUAUUUCAUUAUAAUUAGUUCCAGAAAUUAUCUUAUAAUGAGCUGUACCUUUAAUUACCUGAUAACUUCACAGACAAUAUUAUACCAGGCCCUGGACUAGAAACUGUUACCGUACCAUCAUU
This 320-nucleotide unclassified non-coding RNA is filed under the name Hevea brasiliensis (rubber tree). The record is from RNAcentral. Lineage: Eukaryota; Viridiplantae; Streptophyta; Magnoliopsida; Malpighiales; Euphorbiaceae.